This 606-nucleotide ribosomal RNA is filed under the name uncultured Bifidobacterium sp. RNAcentral's name for it is "bacterial SSU rRNA". It matches the Rfam family "Bacterial small subunit ribosomal RNA", at positions 147 to 737 of the family's 1533-position model. Lineage: Bacteria; Bacillati; Actinomycetota; Actinomycetes; Bifidobacteriales; Bifidobacteriaceae. The record is from RNAcentral.
CUCCUGGAAACGGGUGGUAAUGCCGGAUGCUCCGACUCCUCGCAUGGGGUGUCGGGAAAGAUUUCAUCGGUAUGGGAUGGGGUCGCGUCCUAUCAGGUAGUCGACGGGGUAACGGCCCACCGAGCCUACGACGGGUAGCCGGCCUGAGAGGGCGACCGGCCACAUUGGGACUGAGAUACGGCCCAGACUCCUACGGGAGGCAGCAGUGGGGAAUAUUGCACAAUGGGCGCAAGCCUGAUGCAGCGACGCCGCGUGCGGGAUGACGGCCUUCGGGUUGUAAACCGCUUUUGAUCGGGAGCAAGCCUUCGGGUGAGUGUACCUUUCGAAUAAGCACCGGCUAACUACGUGCCAGCAGCCGCGGUAAUACGUAGGGUGCAAGCGUUAUCCGGAAUUAUUGGGCGUAAAGGGCUCGUAGGCGGUUCGUCACGUCCGGUGUGAAAGUCCAUCGCUUAACGGUGGAUCUGCGCCGGGUACGGGCGGGCUGGAGUGCGGUAGGGGAGACUGGAAUUCCCGGUGUAACGGUGGAAUGUGUAGAUAUCGGGAAGAACACCAAUCGAAUUCCCGGGGCCGCCAGGCGGCGGACCUGGAGUCGGGCCAUUCGCCCAU